AAAAUUAUUUUAAAUUAGGUAUAGUGUGAGAUUGUAAAUUAU
Molecule: non-coding RNA, 42 nt
Filed under: Trypanosoma brucei brucei
Lineage: Eukaryota; Euglenozoa; Kinetoplastea; Trypanosomatida; Trypanosomatidae
Source: RNAcentral